Molecule: ribosomal RNA, 302 nt
Filed under: uncultured bacterium
Lineage: Bacteria
Description: partial 16S ribosomal RNA
Rfam family: Bacterial small subunit ribosomal RNA
Source: RNAcentral
GCAGUAGCCGCGGGAAUACAGAGGGUGCGAGCGUUAAUCGGAUUUACUGGGCGUAAAGCGUGCGUAGGCGGCUAAUUGAGUCGGAGGUGAAAUCCCCGAGCUUAACUUGGGAAUUGCAUUCGAUACUGGUUAGCUAGAGUGUGGGAGAGGAUGGUAGAAUUCCAGGUGUAGCGGUGAAAUGCGUAGAGAUCUGGAGGAAUACCGAUGGCGAAGGCAGCCAUCUGGCCUAACACUGACGCUGAGGUACGAAAGCAUGGGGAGCAAACAGGAUUAGAUACCCCAGUAGUCCCUGUCUCUUAUAA